RNAcentral lists this ribosomal RNA (423 nucleotides) under uncultured bacterium. RNAcentral's name for it is "bacterial SSU rRNA". It matches the Rfam family "Bacterial small subunit ribosomal RNA", at positions 207 to 622 of the family's 1533-position model. The record is from RNAcentral.
AAGACCUUGCACUUUUGGAGCGGCCGAUGUCUGAUUAGCUAGUUGGUGGGGUAAUGGCCUACCAAAGCUUCGAUCAGUAGCUGGUCUGAGAGGACGGCCAGCCACACUGGGACUGAGACACGGCCCAGACUCCUACGGGAGGCAGCAGUGGGGAAUUUUGGACAAUGGGCGCAAGCCUGAUCCAGCCAUGCCGCGUGAGUGAAGAGGGCCUUCGGGUUGUAAAGCUCUUUCAGCCGGGAAGAAAAGGUUGCGACUAAUAAUCGCAAUCCAUGACGGUACCGAAAGAAGAAGCACCGGCUAACUACGUGCCAGCAGCCGCGGUAAUACGUAGGGUGCGAGCGUUAAUCGGAAUUACUGGGCGUAAAGGGUGCGCAGGCGGUUUUGUAAGUCAGAUGUGAAAUCCCCGGGCUUAACCUGGGAACU